Molecule: ribosomal RNA, 469 nt
Filed under: uncultured bacterium
Lineage: Bacteria
Description: partial 16S ribosomal RNA
Rfam family: Bacterial small subunit ribosomal RNA
Source: RNAcentral
GACGAACGCUGGCGGCGUGCUUAACACAUGCAAGUCGAACGGUGAACGAGGGAGCUUGCUCCCUCCGGAUCAGUGGCGAACGGGUGAGUAACACGUGAGCAAUCUGCCCCGAACUCUGGGAUAAGCGUUGGAAACGACGUCUAAUACCGGAUACGACGCGGGAGGGCAUCCUCUCCGCGUGGAAAGAACUUCGGUUCGGGAUGAGCUCGCGGCCUAUCAGCUUGUUGGUGAGGUAACGGCUCACCAAGGCGACGACGGGUAGCCGGCCUGAGAGGGUGACCGGCCACACGGGGACUGAGACACGGCCCAGACUCCUACGGGAGGCAGCAGUGGGGAAUAUUGCACAAUGGGCGAAAGCCUGAUGCAGCAACGCCGCGUGAGGGACGACGGCCUUCGGGUUGUAAACCUCUUUUAGCAGGGAAGAAGCGAAAGUGACGGUACCUGCAGAAAAAGCACCGGCUAACUACGU